Calliphora vicina (urban bluebottle blowfly) is the source of this 442-nucleotide long non-coding RNA. RefSeq lists it as uncharacterized. The record is from RefSeq and is a predicted model, not a curated record. NCBI's taxonomy places the organism in Eukaryota, Metazoa, Arthropoda, Insecta, Diptera, Calliphoridae. The transcript is spliced from 3 exons.
AUCCCGAGCCCACAUCAGGUAUUGCAAAGCUUUGGUUGAUCCAUAUCUGUCCCAAACAUAUAGAAACGCCAGUACACAUCCCAGACUUUAAUGCAAUUGAGCAUCUUUGGGAGGAAUUAGCUAGGAGAGUGCAUAACAUAAAAUUAAACACAUACAUACUUUUACAAGAUUAUCAAAUAUCUUCUUGGAAGAUUUACCGCUUAUAGCAUGUUGUGUUUUUGAACGAUCGUUCCUUGUAAGAUCUGAAGAUACUGGAAUACCGGUUGUACGCACCCGAAUGACCCGAGUUCACUCCGCCAAGAUCUGUCAACUCAGCAAUCAAUGCUGCUACAACAACCAAAUGAUUUACGAGUGUUUUCUUUUUCAUCUUACUUAAAUACUGUUAGUUACGCAAAUGGUGUGCCUCCACUGAUAGGGAGUCGUGAAACAAGUACUAUACGUC